CUAGUAUAGCAUUAUACCGUGAAACUGCGAAUGGCUCAUUAAAUCAGUUAUCGUUUAUUUGAUAGUACCUUACUACUUGGAUAACCGUGGUAAUUCUAGAGCUAAUACAUGCUAAAAACCCCAACUUCGGAAGGGGUGUAUUUAUUAGAUAAAAAACCAACGCCCUUCGGGGCUUCUUGGUGAUUCAUGAUAACUUAACGGAUCGCAUGGCCUUGCGCCGGCGACGGUUCAUUCAAAUUUCUGCCCUAUCAACUUUCGAUGGUAAGGUAUUGGCUUACCAUGGUUUCAACGGGUAACGGGGAAUUAGGGUUCGAUUCCGGAGAGGGAGCCUGAGAAACGGCUACCACAUCCAAGGAAGGCAGCAGGCGCGCAAAUUACCCAAUCCCGACACGGGGAGGUAGUGACAAUAAAUACUGAUACAGGGCUCUUUUGGGUCUUGUAAUUGGAAUGAGUACAAUUUAAACCUCUUAACGAGGAACAAUUGGAGGGCAAGUCUGGUGCCAGCAGCCGCGGUAAUUCCAGCUCCAAUAGCGUAUAUUAAAGUUGUUGCAGUUAAAAAGCUCGUAGUUGAACCUUGGGUCUGGCUGGCAGGUCCGCCUCACCGCGUGUACUUGUCCGGCCGGGCCUUCCUUCUGGAGAACCUCAUGCCCUUCACUGGGCGUGUUGGGGACCAGGACUUUUACUUUGAAAAAAUUAGAGUGUUCAAAGCAGGCCUUUGCUCGAAUACGUUAGCAUGGAAUAAUAAAAUAGGACGUGCGGUCCUAUUUUGUUGGUUUCUAGGACCGCCGUAAUGAUUAAUAGGGACAGUCGGGGGCAUCAGUAUUCAAUUGUCAGAGGUGAAAUUCUUGGAUUUAUUGAAGACUAACUACUGCGAAAGCAUUUGCCAAGGAUGUUUUCAUUAAUCAGUGAACGAAAGUUAGGGGAUCGAAGACGAUCAGAUACCGUCGUAGUCUUAACCGUAAACUAUGCCGACUAGGGAUCGGGCGAUGUUCUUUUUCUGACUCGCUCGGCACCUUACGAGAAAUCAAAGUUUUUGG
This 1037-nucleotide ribosomal RNA is filed under the name Ophiobolus erythrosporus. Its description in RNAcentral is "SSU rRNA". It matches the Rfam family "Eukaryotic small subunit ribosomal RNA", at positions 60 to 1110 of the family's 1831-position model. Lineage: Eukaryota; Fungi; Ascomycota; Dothideomycetes; Pleosporales; Phaeosphaeriaceae. The record is from RNAcentral.